CUACGUGCCAGCAGCCGCGGUAAUACGGAGGGUGCGAGCGUUAAUCGGAAUAACUGGGCGUAAAGGGCACGCAGGCGGUGACUUAAGUGAGGUGUGAAAGCCCCGGGCUUAACCUGGGAAUUGCAUUUCAUACUGGGUCGCUAGAGUACUUUAGGGAGGGGUAGAAUUCCACGUGUAGCGGUGAAAUGCGUAGAGAUGUGGAGGAAUACCGAAGGCGAAGGCAGCCCCUUGGGAAUGUACUGACGCUCAUGUGCGAAAGCGUGGGGAGUAAACAGGAUUAGAUACCCUGGUAGUCCACGCUGUAAACGAUGUCGAUUUGGGGGUUGAACUUUAGGUUUGGCGCCCGUAGCUAACGUGAUAAAUCGACCGCCUGGGGAGUACGGCCGCAAGGUUAAAACUCAAAUGAAUUGACGGGGGCCCGCACAAGCGGUGGAGCAUGUGGUUUAAUUCGAUGCAACGCGAAGAACCUUACCUACUCUUGACAUCCAGAGAACAUUC
This 498-nucleotide ribosomal RNA is filed under the name uncultured bacterium. Its description in RNAcentral is "bacterial SSU rRNA". It matches the Rfam family "Bacterial small subunit ribosomal RNA", at positions 501 to 1000 of the family's 1533-position model. The record is from RNAcentral.